CUGCCAAGGUCUUAGUGGAGACCACUAGGAUUGUUUGCAAGAGUCUUACUGAAGUCAGAACUUAGACUGUGUUGGUAGAGGAAAAUCUAUUUUAAUGCAAUUACUUUACUUUGUUUACACCAGGGAGGUAAAUUUAACUUUGGAACCAUCAUUUACAUCCUCGGAAUAUAUAUUUUCAGCACAUAGCUGAAUUCUGUGUAUGUAGAAAAUAUGUCACUGAUUAGGUUUCUUGCCAUAUCAAGUACAGCAGCAUGAAAGAACAGCAUCAUGUCCUCAGAACUUACCAGUAAAGAGAAAAUGUUUACAACCUGUCUCUGAACAGCACUGCAUGGAUGAUGGAGCACUUCUGAAAGAAUAUCUGUGAAGGAAAUAAACCCAUUAAUUGAACAGAAUUACUGCA
Molecule: long non-coding RNA, 400 nt
Filed under: Cyanistes caeruleus (blue tit)
Lineage: Eukaryota; Metazoa; Chordata; Aves; Passeriformes; Paridae
Description: lncRNA (ENSCCEG00000007290.1)
Source: RNAcentral